GAUGAAGAACGUAGCGAAAUGCGAUAAGUAAUGUGAAUUGCAGAAUUCAGUGAAUCAUCGAAUCUUUGAACGCACAUUGCGCCCUCUGGUAUUCCGGGGGGCAUGCCUGUUCGAGCGUCAUUAUAACCACUCAAGCUCUCGCUUGGUAUUGGGGCUCGCGGUUCCGCGGCCCCUAAAAUCAGUGGCGGUGCCUGUCGGCUCUACGCGUAGUAAUACUCCUCGCGAUUGAGUCCGGUAGGUCUACUUGCCAACAACCCCCAAUUUUUACAGGUUGACCUCGGAUCAGGUAGGGAUACCCGCUGAACUUAAGCAUAUCAAUAAGCGGAGGA
This 329-nucleotide unclassified non-coding RNA is filed under the name soil metagenome. RNAcentral describes it as "partial contains 5.8S ribosomal RNA, internal transcribed spacer 2, and large subunit ribosomal RNA". The stretch from base 1 to 120 matches the Rfam family "5.8S ribosomal RNA", at positions 35 to 154 of the family's 154-position model. The record is from RNAcentral.